UACGGAGGGGGCUAGCGUUGUUCGGAAUUACUGGGCGUAAAGCGCACGUAGGCGGCUAUUUAAGUCAGAGGUGAAAGCCUGGAGCUCAACUCCAGAACUGCCUUUGAGACUGGAUAGCUAGAAUCUUGGAGAGGCGGGUGGAAUUCCGAGUGUAGAGGUGAAAUUCGUAGAUAUUCGGAAGAACACCAGUGGCGAAGGCGGCCCGCUGGACAAGUAUUGACGCUGAGGUGCGAAAGCGUGGGGAGCAAACAGG
RNAcentral lists this ribosomal RNA (253 nucleotides) under uncultured bacterium. Its description in RNAcentral is "partial 16S ribosomal RNA". It matches the Rfam family "Bacterial small subunit ribosomal RNA", at positions 524 to 776 of the family's 1533-position model. The record is from RNAcentral.